AUUGAACGCUGGCGGCAUGCCUUACACAUGCAAGUCGAACGGCAGCGCGGAGCAAUCCUGGUGGCGAGUGGCGAACGGGUGAGUAAUAUAUCGGAACGUGCCCAGUCGUGGGGAUAACGUAGCGAAAGCUACGCUAAUACCGCAUACGAUCUAUGGGAUGAAAGCGGGGGAUCGCAAGACCUCGCGCGAAUUGGAGCGGCCGAUAUCAGAUUAGGUAGUUGGUGAGGUAAAGGCUCACCAAGCCGACGAUCUGUAGCUGGUCUGAGAGGACGACCAGCCACACUGGGACUGAGACACGGCCCAGACUCCUACGGGAGGCAGCAGUGGGGAAUUUUGGACAAUGGGCGCAAGCCUGAUCCAGCAAUGCCGCGUGCAGGA
This 378-nucleotide ribosomal RNA is filed under the name uncultured bacterium. RNAcentral's name for it is "bacterial SSU rRNA". It matches the Rfam family "Bacterial small subunit ribosomal RNA", at positions 30 to 408 of the family's 1533-position model. The record is from RNAcentral.